This 260-nucleotide ribosomal RNA is filed under the name uncultured bacterium. RNAcentral describes it as "partial 16S ribosomal RNA". The stretch from base 75 to 260 matches the Rfam family "Bacterial small subunit ribosomal RNA", at positions 903 to 1088 of the family's 1533-position model. The record is from RNAcentral.
CANCCCCUAUCCCUUGGCUUGCCUUCGCCUCCACGACUCGGCCGCGUCGACCGCACGACAAGUGACGAACUACGAAAGGAAUUGACGGGGGCCCGCACAAGCGGUGGAGCAUGUGGUUUAAUUCGAAGCAACGCGAAGAACCUUACCAGGUCUUGACAUCCCGAUGCUAUUUCUAGAGAUAGAAAGUUACUUCGGUACAUCGGUGACAGGUGGUGCAUGGUUGUCGUCAGCUCGUGUCGUGAGAUGUUGGGUUAAGUCCC